RNAcentral lists this ribosomal RNA (480 nucleotides) under uncultured bacterium. Its description in RNAcentral is "partial 16S ribosomal RNA". It matches the Rfam family "Bacterial small subunit ribosomal RNA", at positions 28 to 507 of the family's 1533-position model. The record is from RNAcentral.
GAUGAACGCUAGCGGCAGGCCUAACACAUGCGAGUCGAGGGGUAGAAGGAGCUUGCUCCUUUGCGACCGGCGCACGGGUGCGUAACGCGUAUGCAAUCUACCUUGUACAGGGGAAUAGCCCAGAGAAAUUUGGAUUAAUGCCCCAUAGUAUAUAACCUUCGCAUGUUGGUUAUAUUAAAGUUCCAACGGUACAAGAUGAGCAUGCGUCCCAUUAGUUAGUUGGUAAGGUAACGGCUUACCAAGACGAUGAUGGGUAGGGGUCCUGAGAGGGAGAUCCCCCAGACUGGUACUAAGGUCCGGACCAGACUCCUACGGGAGGGAGCAGUGAGGAAUAUUAGUGAAUGGUGGCUAGACGGAACCAGCCAUGCCGCGUGCAGGAAGACGGUCCUAGGGAUUGUAAACUGCUUUGAAACAGGAAGAAUCCCUCCCACGUGUGGGGGCUUGACGGUACUGUAGGAAUAAGGAUCGGCUAACUCCGUG